AGAAUCAACGCUGGCGGCGUGCCUAACACAUGCAAGUCGCACGAGAAAGGGGAGCAAUCCCUGAGUACAGUGGCGCACGGGUGAGUAACACGUGAAUAAUCUACCUCCGAGUGGGGAAUAAACUGAGAGAAAUCUUAGCUAAUACCGCAUAACACUUACGAGUCAAAGCAGCAAUGCGCUUGGAGAGGAGUUCGCGGCCGAGUUAGUUAGUUGGCGGGGUAAUGGCCCACCAAGACGAUGAUCGGUA
RNAcentral lists this ribosomal RNA (247 nucleotides) under uncultured bacterium. RNAcentral's name for it is "partial small subunit ribosomal RNA". It matches the Rfam family "Bacterial small subunit ribosomal RNA", at positions 26 to 285 of the family's 1533-position model. The record is from RNAcentral.